GCCCGGAUGGUGGAAUCGGUAGACACAAGGGAUUUAAAAUCCCUCGGCGUUCGUGCUGUGUGGGUUCAAGUCCCACUCCGGGUACCA
Molecule: transfer RNA, 87 nt
Filed under: Citrobacter portucalensis
Lineage: Bacteria; Pseudomonadati; Pseudomonadota; Gammaproteobacteria; Enterobacterales; Enterobacteriaceae
Description: tRNA-Leu
Rfam family: tRNA
About the family: Transfer RNA (tRNA) molecules are approximately 80 nucleotides in length.
Source: RNAcentral